Molecule: long non-coding RNA, 828 nt
Organism: Rhipicephalus microplus (southern cattle tick)
Lineage: Eukaryota; Metazoa; Arthropoda; Arachnida; Ixodida; Ixodidae
Source: RefSeq, a predicted model, not a curated record
AGCAAUCAGUGAGAUUUUUUCGGUAUCUCUGAACACGUCAGCUGCCGUAGAGGUGGAUAACUUACUUUUAAAGAAACUCGCGGUGAAGAAACAUGCUAAAUCUAGCGAUCUUUCUUGUGCUUGGAGCAUCUGCAGCCCUGUCAGAAGCACUGACGUCGAAUAUUUCUUAUGCCUUGGAACCGAAAGGAAGGACCUACGUAUAUUCCACUCUGCAUUCUGACAAGAAUCAUAGCUGUGCCUCUUACCGAAAGUACACAAUUCAGUGUCCAUACUAUCAUUGCUUCUAUUACGUUCUAUAUACUUAUGAAACUAACAGCGCAAAGGAAAAAGUGUGGCACUAUGGAGAACUUCAGAGACCAUGUCGUCACGAUGACUACAAAAAUUAUUCUUGCUUAUUGAGCAUGAAUAUAUCAACUUUUAAUACUACUGGAAAAGUGGAUGAACCGGAGAGAAAGGUGCUCAUGUAUUGGAAUGAAACAUCGGCUGUGGUGUAUAUAUUGUUCUGGUAAACGAAACAAAAGCGGGAUGCGAGCUUCACUCACGUGACGGAGCACACGAGAAAGCGAAAAUUACCGGUAAUCUUCAGACUUGUCACUCCGAGUUUCGUAAACACUGCCAAGAAUACUCUCGAGGCAACGACUACAUGACGAGAUGUAAUAUGCAAGCGGGACUGUAACCAAAGAAUCAUCCUCGACAAGCUUCUCUUUGCAAACUUUUUGUUUUCAAGCAAGAAACAAGCUCUGGUGUACAUGACAAGAGCAAGUAAAGGACAAGAGUAAAUCCCAGUUUGCUUUAUGUAUGACAAAUAAAAUCUUGUUUGUUGGAAUG